AAAAUGAAGGCCAGAGUAAACAAAUUUGGCCACAUUAAGCACCUGGUCACCAAGGCUGCUUUUAGCUCUGGCAAAGUGGAUAUUGUCAUCAUCAAUGAUGCCUUCAUUGACCUCAACUACCUGGCCUACAUGUUCCAGUAGGCUUCCACCCAUGGCAAGUUCCACAGUAUCAUCAAGGCUCAGAAUGAGAAGACUGACAUCAAUGGAAAUCCCAUCAUUAUCUUCCAGGAGCAAGAUCCCCCCCAAAAUCGAGUGAAAUGACAGCGGUGCUGAUUAUGUUGUUGAGCCCACUAGAAUCUCCAUUACCAUGGAGAAGGCUGAGGCUCACUUAGAGGGGUAAGCCAAAAGAGCCACCAUCUCUGCCCCCUCUGCUGAUGCCCCUUAUGUUUAUGUGGGGUGUGAAUCAUGAGAAGUAUGAAAACAACCUCAAGAUCCUUAGUAGUGCCUCAUACACCACCUACUACUUAGCCCUUCUGGCCAAGGUCAUCCAUGACAACUUUGGCACUAUGGAGGGACUCAUGACCACAGCCUAUGCAAUCACUACCACUCCGAAGACCAUGGGUGCCCCUUCUUGGAAACGUUGGCAGGAUGGCCACAGGGCUCUACAGAACAUCAUCUCUGCAUCUACUUGCACUGCCAAAGCUGUUGGAAAGGUCAUCCCCAAGCUGAAUGGAAGCUCACUAGCAUGGUGUUCCAUAUCCCCACCUCUGUGUCAUUUUGGACCUGACUUGCCAUCUGGAGAAACUUGACAAAUAUGACACCAUCAAAAAGGCGGUGAAGCAGGCAUUGGAGGGCCCCCUCAAGGGCAUCUUGGGCUAUAGUGAGUGCCAGGUUGUCUCCUCUGACUUUAACAGACAUUCACUCUUCCAGCUUUGAUGCUGGGGCUGGCAUUUCCCUCAAUGACUACUUUGUCAAGCUUAUUCCCUGGUAUGACAAUGAAUUUGGCAACAGGGUAGUGGAG
Molecule: long non-coding RNA, 961 nt
Filed under: Homo sapiens (human)
Lineage: Eukaryota; Metazoa; Chordata; Mammalia; Primates; Hominidae
Description: non-protein coding lnc-RNASEH1-8:1
Source: RNAcentral